This 697-nucleotide long non-coding RNA is filed under the name Helianthus annuus (common sunflower). Lineage: Eukaryota; Viridiplantae; Streptophyta; Magnoliopsida; Asterales; Asteraceae. The record is from RNAcentral.
AAAAAACAUUCAAAAAGGUGGAACAACCUAAAACAGAACAUAGGGAAUUCUUCAAAUACAGCAACGAAGCAAUACUGCUGAGAUGCCAACCUAACUCAUACAUGGAUACUGUGAAGAAAUUUUCAAAAAAACAGGUUGAAGAGAAACUUUGACGAGAAGUUCGAUAAGCUAAACGUAGGAAAACACCAAAUAAAAAUAACAUCGGACACAGUUUACGAAGUAUUUGGAAUACCAAAGGGUCCAAAGAAGGUUGAAAUAAUAGCCGAUAAGAGAAAAGUCAAAAAGCAGGAGAAAAUUUAAAAAAGUCAAGAACCGGGAAAUGCUGUCAGGGAUACAUUCAUCCGCCAGUGGGGGGAAAACACGAGAAUUACCCAUGGCUUAAUUGCAAAUACAAUGGAAAAUCAAAGAGACGGAGGGAACCUGUUUAAAUUAAAUUUCCUUGUAUACUGGAUGACCUUCUUUGCAGAAAUUACAAAGGCAACACUUGCAAAUGAUAGAUGUUUGCUUGGUGUAGAAGAUGUUGAGGAAAUACAGAAUCUAGAUUGGUGCUCAUAUCUACUCGACACCUUGCGUCGUACACGAGCGGGCUGGAAGAACUAUAAAAUACAGUUCGUGGGACCUGUUGCCUUUCUUACGCUUCUAUACAUGCAUGAGUACAACAAAAGGCUUAACCUGUUUGAGAAAGCCGUGGAGAUAC